This 1121-nucleotide ribosomal RNA is filed under the name uncultured bacterium. RNAcentral's name for it is "bacterial SSU rRNA". It matches the Rfam family "Bacterial small subunit ribosomal RNA", at positions 381 to 1479 of the family's 1533-position model. The record is from RNAcentral.
CUGAGAGGAGACCAUGGCCGUCUUUAUAGAAGCAAGGGCCCUCGGGUUGUUUAAAUAAUUUUUAAGGGGGGAAAUAGGAGUUGAGUUUAUUACCUUCAGCCAAUGAAGUUCUCCCCAUAGGAUCACCAAUCUCACUGCCUGCCCACAGCAUCGGGUAAUUCGGAGAGGGCCAAGCGUUAUUCUGAAAUUAGGGGGGGGAAAACCCCAGCAGGGCGGUCGGUCAACUUGGAUGUGAAAUCCCCCGGGCUUUACCUAGGGACGGCCCUCGGAACUAACAGGAUAGAAUCUUGUAGAGAGCGGGAGGAAUUCCACGGGUAGCGGUGACAUGCGUAGAGAUCUGGAGGAAUACCGCGUGGCGAAGGCGGCCCCCUUGACAAAGACUGAUCCUCAGGUGCGAAAGUGUGGCGACCGCACCAGGAUUAGAUACCCUGGUAGUUCACGCCGUAAACGAUGUCGACUUGGAGGUUGUUCCCUUGAGGAGUGGCUUCCGGAGCUAACGCGUUAAGUCGACCGCCUGGGGAGUACGGCCGCAGGGUUAAAACUCAAAUGAAUUGACGGGGGCCCGCACAAGCGGUGGAGCAUGUGGUUUAAUUCGAUGCAACGCGAAGAACCUUACCUACUCUUGACAUCCAGAGAACUUAGCAGAGAUGCUUUGGUGCCUUCGGGAACUCUGAGACAGGUGCUGCAUGGCUGUCGUCAGCUCGUGUUGUGAAAUGUUGGGUUAAGUCCCGCAACGAGCGCAACCCUUAUCCUUUGUUGCCAGCGGUUCGGCCGGGAACUCAAAGGAGACUGCCAGUGAUAAACUGGAGGAAGGUGGGGAUGACGUCAAGUCAUCAUGGCCCUUACGAGUAGGGCUACACACGUGCUACAAUGGCGCAUACAAAGAGAAGCGACCUCGCGAGAGCAAGCGGACCUCAUAAAGUGCGUCGUAGUCCGGAUCGGAGUCUGCAACUCGACUCCGUGAAGUCGGAAUCGCUAGUAAUCGUAGAUCAGAAUGCUACGGGGAAUACGUUCCCGGGCCUCGUACACACCGCCCGUCACAACGAUGGGAGUGGAUUGCAAAAGAAGUAGGUAGCUUAACCUUCGGGAGGGCGCUUACCACUUUUGGAAUACAAAGGGGC